AAAGACACAGAGAAAGUAAAGAAAGAAACAACUUUACCCAGCAAUUGAGAGAACAACAGCAGUAGAAAGAAACAAAGAAGAUUAGAUAAUAAAUCUUCCAUGGGAUUCAAGAUCCAUAGAAGAUACAGAUUUUAUAUUAUUUAAUUCAUCAACCUCUCGUUAUCGUUUUUCGAUUCAGAAUCUUCUUUGAGGGCCCUCUCUCUCUCUCUCUCUCUCUCUCUCUCUCUCUCUCUCCGAAAACCACUGUGAAAGAUGUUGUUUUGGGAUAUGGGUUUCAUCUUAGCAUCUCUUGGGGUCUUCAAUUUGGAAAACCAUUGAUAAUUCGAUGGAAGAGGAAAAUUGCAGGAGGGUUUGGGUUUGGGGUUGGGAUUGAGUUUGUCCAUGAUGAGGCUGAAUAAUCGCAUCGUGAAAUUGUGAUUUUUGGGAGAUCGAAGGAAAUCGCAAGACGAUUUUCUGAUGAGAAUGGGGGAGAAUGCAAUUGGAAAUGCGGCGGCUUUGCACACGGCAAUGAAUUCCGUGCAAGCUCUGGGGAGAGGGUUCGAUGUGAACUUCGAUACGAGGUUGCUAUAUUGCAAAGGAGUAGCGGGUUCAAGAGUGGUCCAGAUUGACGAGGAACAUACUAGAAAUCUCUUUUUGUAUGAUGAUAUUGAACUGCCCAAUAUUUCCAGAGAUAUCAACAAGACUUCGGAUCCUAAGAUUCGCCAGAGUUCUGGUGUUUUGACUUUCUAUGAGAUGGUGGAGUACUUUAAUCAAAAGGCUGAUAUAUCCGGAGGUUAUCCACUUGGUAGCUUCAAUUCUGCAUUUAGCUUUACUGGUUCAAAGCAUAUCGAUGCUGCAUCUACAAAGACCCUCUCUAUGGAUGGAUUUUAUAUUCCACUUGCAAAGAUCCAACUUAUGAAAUCCCCAUUAGUCUUGCAGGAUAAUGUUAAACAGGCUGUCCCAAAUUUUUGGGACCCUUCAUCCUUGGCAAGCUUCA
RNAcentral lists this unclassified non-coding RNA (976 nucleotides) under Hevea brasiliensis (rubber tree). The record is from RNAcentral. Lineage: Eukaryota; Viridiplantae; Streptophyta; Magnoliopsida; Malpighiales; Euphorbiaceae.